GAUGAACGCUGGCGGCGUGCCUAAUACAUGCAAGUCGAGCGCGAGAUUGAGGAGCUUGCUCCUCAUGAUCGAGCGGCGGACGGGUGAGUAACACGUAGGCAACCUACCCUUGAGAUUGGGAUAACUACCGGAAACGGUAGCUAAUACCGGAUACGACAUAGUCACAAAAGUGAUUGUGUUAAAAGGCGGAUUUAUCUGCCGCUCAUGGAUGGGCCUGCGGUGCAUUAGCUAGUUGGUGAGAUAGAAGCUCACCAAGGCGACGAUGCAUAGCCGACCUGAGAGGGUGAUCGGCCACACUGGGACUGAGACACGGCCCAGACUCCUACGGGAGGCAGCAGUAGGGAAUCUUCCGCAAUGGACGAAAGUCUGACGGAGCAACGCCGCGUGAGUGAUGAAGGGUUUCGGCUCGUAAAACUCUGUUGUUAAGGAAGAAUACUUGAGGUAGUAACUGGCCUUGAGAUGACGGUACUUAACCAGAAAGCCACGGCUAACUACGUGCCAGCAGCCGCGGUAAUACGUAGGUGGCAAGCGUUAUCCGGAAUUAUUGGGCGUAAAGCGCGCGUAGGCGG
Molecule: ribosomal RNA, 569 nt
Filed under: uncultured Jeotgalicoccus sp.
Lineage: Bacteria; Bacillati; Bacillota; Bacilli; Caryophanales; Staphylococcaceae
Description: bacterial SSU rRNA
Rfam family: Bacterial small subunit ribosomal RNA
Source: RNAcentral